GACGAACGCUGGCGGCGUGCUUAACACAUGCAAGUCGAACGGAAAGGCCCUUCGGGGUACUCGAGUGGCGAACGGGUGAGUAACACGUGGGUGAUCUGCCCUGCACUUUGGGAUAAGCCUGGGAAACUGGGUCUAAUACCGAAUAGGACCACGCGCUUCAUGGUGUGUGGUGGAAAGCUUUUGCGGUGUGGGAUGGGCCCGCGGCCUAUCAGCUUGUUGGUGGGGUAAUGGCCUACCAAGGCGACGACGGGUAGCCGGCCUGAGAGGGUGACCGGCCACAAUGGGACUGAGAUACGGCCCAGACGCCUACGGGAGGCAGCAGGGGGGAAUAUUGCACAAUGGGCGCAAGCCUGAUGCAGCGACGCCGCGUGAGGGAUGACGGCCUUCGGGUUGUAAACCUCUUUCACCAGGGACGAAGCGUAAGUGACGGUACCUGGAGAAGAAGCACCGGCCAACUACGUG
RNAcentral lists this ribosomal RNA (462 nucleotides) under uncultured bacterium. RNAcentral's name for it is "partial 16S ribosomal RNA". It matches the Rfam family "Bacterial small subunit ribosomal RNA", at positions 28 to 507 of the family's 1533-position model. The record is from RNAcentral.